CAAUUCGGCCUCGCUUGUUUGUGAUUGCGCUAAACCUUCGGUCCUCAGCCGAGAACGCUCCAGCACCUCCGCGGAUCGCUCAUCUCUUGGCUGCCCUCCCACUGUUCCUGAUGUUAUUUUACUCCCCGUAUCCCCUACUCGUUCUUCACAAUUCUAUAGGUGAGUGGUUCCAGCUGGUGCCUGGCCUGCGUCUCUUGGAUGCUCUGAGGCUUCACUCCGUCUCCUGUUGCCCAUCACCUCGUCCCUGGGCCACCUGAUACCCCAGCCCAACAGCUAAGGUGUGGAUGGACAGUAGGGGGCUGGCUUCUCUCACUGGUCAGGGGUCUUCUCCCCUGUCUGCCUCCCGGAGCUAGGACUGCAGAGGGGCCCACCAUGGUGCUUGCAGGCCCCCUGGCUGUCUCGCUGUUGCUGCCCAGCCUCACACUGCUGGUGUCCCACCUCUCCAACUCCCAGGAUGUCCCCAGUGAGCCCAGCAGUGAGCAGCAGCUGUGCGCCCUGAGCGAGCACCCCACCGUGGCCUUUGAAGAUCUGCAGCCAUGGGUCUCUAACUUCACCUACCCUGGAGCCCGGGAUUUCUCCCAGCUCGCCUUGGACCCCUCCAGGAACCAGCUCAUUGUGGGAGCCAGGAACUACCUCUUCAGACUCAGCCUUGCCAAUGUCUCUCUUCUUCAGGCCACAGAGUGGGCCUCCAGUGAGGACACGCGCCGCUCCUGCCAAAGCAAAGGAAAGACUGAGGAGGAGUGUCAGAACUACGUGCGAGUCCUGAUCGUCACCGGCCGGAAGGUGUUCAUGUGUGGGACCAAUGCCUUUUCCCCCGUGUGCACCAGCAGACAGGUGGGGAACGUCAGCAGGACAAUUGAGAAGAUCAAUGGUGUGGCCCGCUGCCCCUACGACCCACGCCACAACUCCACAGCUGUCAUCUCCUCCCAGGGGGAGCUCUACGCGGCCACGGUCAUCGACUUCUCAGGUCGGGACCCUGCCAUCUACCGCAGCCUGGGCAGCCGGCCACCGCUUCGCACUGCCCAGUAUAACUCCAAGUGGCUCAAUGAGCCAAACUUCGUGGCAGCCUAUGAUAUUGGGCUGUUUGCAUACUUCUUCCUGCGGGAGAACGCAGUGGAGCAUGACUGUGGACGCACCGUGUACUCUCGCGUGGCCCGUGUGUGCAAGAAUGACGUGGGGGGCCGAUUCCUGCUGGAGGACACGUGGACCACAUUCAUGAAGGCCCGGCUCAACUGCUCCCGCCCGGGUGAGGUCCCCUUCUACUAUAACGAGCUGCAGAGUGCCUUCCACUUGCCGGAGCAGGACCUCAUCUACGGAGUUUUCACAACCAAUGUAAACAGCAUUGCGGCUUCUGCUGUCUGCGCCUUCAACCUCAGUGCUAUCUCCCAGGCUUUCAAUGGCCCAUUUCGCUACCAGGAGAACCCCAGGGCUGCCUGGCUCCCCAUCGCCAACCCCAUCCCCAAUUUCCAGUGUGGCACCCUGCCUGAGACCGGUCCCAACGAGAACCUGACGGAGCGCAGCCUGCAGGACGCGCAACGCCUCUUCCUGAUGAGCGAGGCUGUGCAGCCGGUGACACCCGAGCCCUGUGUCACCCAGGACAGCGUGCGCUUCUCACACCUCGUGGUGGACCUGGUGCAGGCUAAAGACACGCUCUACCAUGUACUCUACAUUGGCACCGAGUCGGGCACCAUCCUGAAGGCGUUGUCCACGGCGAGCCGCAGCGUCCGCGGCUGCUACCUGGAGGAGCUGCACGUGCUGCCCCCUGGGCGCCGCGAGCCCCUGCGCAGCCUGCGCAUCCUGCACAGCGCCCGCGCGCUCUUCGUGGGCCUGAGCGACGGCGUCCUGCGGGUCCCACUGGAGAGGUGCGCCGCCUACCGCAGCCAGGGGGCAUGCCUGGGGGCCCGGGACCCGUACUGUGGCUGGGACGGGAAGCAGCAACGUUGCAGCACGCUCGAGGACAGCUCCAACAUGAGCCUCUGGACCCAGAACAUCACCGCCUGUCCUGUGCGGAAUGUGACACGGGAUGGGGGCUUUGGCCCUUGGUCAUCAUGGCAACCAUGUGAGCACUUAGAUGGGGACAACUCAGGCUCUUGCUUGUGUCGAGCCCGAUCCUGUGACUCCCCUCGACCCCGCUGUGGGGGCCUUGACUGCCUGGGGCCAGCUAUCCACAUCGCCAACUGCUCUAGGAAUGGGGCGUGGACCCCGUGGUCAUCGUGGGCGCUGUGCAGCACGUCCUGUGGCAUCGGCUUCCAGGUCCGCCAGCGAAGUUGCAGCAACCCUGCUCCACGCCACGGGGGCCGCAUCUGCGUGGGCAAGAGCCGGGAGGAGCGGUUCUGUAACGAGAACACACCUUGCCCGGUGCCCAUCUUCUGGGCUUCCUGGGGCUCCUGGAGCAAGUGCAGCAGUAACUGUGGAGGCGGCGUGCAGUCGCGGCGUCGGGCCUGCGAGAACGGCAACUCCUGCCUGGGCUGCGGCGAGUUCAAGACGUGCAACCCCGAGGGCUGCCCGGAAGUGCGGCGCAAUACUCCCUGGACGCCAUGGCUGCCCGUGAACGUAACGCAGGGCGGGGCGCGGCAGGAACAGCGGUUCCGCUUCACUUGCCGCGCGCCCCUGGCCGACCCGCACGGCCUGCAGUUCGGCAGGAGAAGGACCGAGACGAGGACCUGCCCCGCGAACGGCUCCGGAGCCUGCGACACCGACGCCCUGGUGGAGGACCUCCUGCGCAGCGGGAGCACCUCCCCGCACACGAUGAGCGGGGGCUGGGCCGCCUGGGGCCCGUGGUCGUCCUGCUCCCGGGACUGCGAGCUAGGCUUCCGCGUCCGUAAGAGAACAUGCACUAACCCGGAGCCCCGCAACGGGGGCCUGCCCUGCGUGGGUGAUGCUGCCGAGUACCAGGACUGCAACCCCCAGGCUUGCCCAGUUCGGGGUGCGUGGUCCUGCUGGACCUCAUGGUCUCCAUGCUCAGCUUCCUGUGGUGGGGGUCACUAUCAACGCACACGUUCCUGCACCAGCCCUGCACCCUCUCCAGGUGAGGACAUCUGUCUCGGGCUGCACACGGAGGAAGCACUAUGUGCCACACAGGCCUGCCCAGGCUGGUCGCCCUGGUCUGAGUGGAGUACGUGCACUGAGGACGGAGCCCAGAGCCGAAGCCGGCACUGUGAGGAGCUCCUCCCAGGGCCCAGCGCCUGUGCUGGAAACAGCAGCCAGAGCCGCCCCUGCCCCUACAGCGAGAUUCCUGUCAUCCUGCCAGCUUCCAGCAUGGAGGAUGCCACCGACUGUGCAGGUAAAAGAAACCAGCCCUACCUCAUGCUGUGGUCCUCCCAGCCCUCCAGCACCCCACUCCAAAGUCUGGACUCUUUCCACAUCCUGCUCCAGACAGCCAAGCUUUGUUGGGGUCCCCACUGCUUUGAGAUGGGUUCAAUCUCAUCCACCUGGUGGCCACGGGCGUCUCCUGCUUCUUGGGCUCUGGGCUCCUGACCCUGGCAGUGUACCUGUCUUGCCAGCACUGCCAGCGUCAGUCCCAGGAGUCCACACUGGUCCAUCCUGCCACCCCCAACCACUUGCACUACAAGGGUGGAGGCACGCCGAAGAAUGAAAAGUACACACCCAUGGAGUUCAAGACCCUGAACAAGAAUAACUUGAUCCCUGAUGACAGAACCAACUUCUACCCAUUGCAGCAGACCAAUGUGUACACGACUACCUACUACCCAAGCCCCCUGAACAAACAUAGCUUCCGGCCUGAGGCCUCACCUGGACAACGGUGCUUCCCCAACAGCUGAUACCGCCGUCCUGGGGACUUGGGCUCCUUGCCUUCCUAAGGCACAGAGCAGGUGGAGAUGGGACAGUGGAGCCAGUUUGGUUUUCUCGCUCUGCACUAGGCCAAGAACUUGCUGCCUUGCCUGUGGGUGGUCCCAUCCGGCUUCAGAGAGCUCUGGCUGGCAUUGACCAUGGGGGAGAGGGCUGGCUUCAGGCUGGCAUAUGGCUGGCAUAUGGCUGCAGGUCCAGUUCAGCCCAGGUCUCUCAUGGUUAUCUUGCAACCCACUGUCACGCUGACCCUAAGCUGCGAUGCCUGGGCUGUGGACGUACUGGGCAUUUGAGGAAUUGAAGAAUGGAGAUGGCAAGAGGGCAGGCUUUUAGGUUUGGGUUGGAAACAACUUCCUGUGGCCCCCACAAGCUGAGUCUGGCCUUCUCCAGCUGACCCCAAAAACGGCCUGUGCUACAUCCUGAUGAUCUCUGAAAGUAAUCAAUCAAGUGGCUCCAGUAGCUCUGGAUUUUCUGCCAGGGCUGGGCCAUUGUGGUGCUGCCCGAGUGUGACACGGGACCAAGGUCAGCGCAGGUUGUCCACCUCUGCCUGGAAGUCUGUACUCUACCCAGGGCAUCCCUGGUCAGAGGCAGUGAGUACUGGGAACUGGAGGCUGGCCUAUGCUUAGAAGUCCUUUAAUCUGGGCUGGUACAGGCCUCAGCCAUGCCCUCAAUGCACGAAAGGUGGCCUAGGAGAGAGGCUCAAUGCCAUAGGAGGCAGAAGUCUGGUCUCUGUGCCUCUAUGGAGACUGUCUUCCAGUUGCUGCUCGACAAAGUUGUUGGCUGAGACCUGCUUGGGAGUCUCUUCUGGCCCUUCAUCUGUUCAGGAACACACACACACAUACACACACACACACACACAAUCACAAUUACAAUUUGCUACAGCAACAAAAAAGACAUUGGGCUGUGGCAUUAUUAAUUAAAGAUGAUAUCCAGUCUCCAAA
This is an RNA transcript of Piliocolobus tephrosceles (Ugandan red Colobus), 4745 nucleotides long. It is a transcript of the gene named semaphorin 5B, with no coding region annotated. The transcript is spliced from 23 exons. NCBI's taxonomy places the organism in Eukaryota, Metazoa, Chordata, Mammalia, Primates, Cercopithecidae. The record is from RefSeq and is a predicted model, not a curated record.